GACGAACGCUGGCGGCGUGCCUAAUACAUGCAAGUAGAACGCUGAAGAGAGGAGCUUGCUCUUCUUGGAUGAGUUGCGAACGGGUGAGUAACGCGUAGGUAACCUGCCUGGUAGCGGGGGAUAACUAUUGGAAACGAUAGCUAAUACCGCAUAAAAUUGAUUAUCGCAUGAUAAUUAAUUGAAAGGUGCAAAUGCAUCACUACCAGAUGGACCUGCGUUGUAUUAGCUAGUUGGUGGGGUAACGGCUCACCAAGGCGACGAUACAUAGCCGACCUGAGAGGGUGAUCGGCCACACUGGGACUGAGACACGGCCCCAGACUCCUACGGGAGGCAGCAGUAGGGAAUCUUUCGGCAAUGGACGGAAGUCUGACCG
This 373-nucleotide ribosomal RNA is filed under the name Streptococcus sp. oral taxon 071. RNAcentral's name for it is "bacterial SSU rRNA". It matches the Rfam family "Bacterial small subunit ribosomal RNA", at positions 28 to 389 of the family's 1533-position model. The record is from RNAcentral. Lineage: Bacteria; Bacillati; Bacillota; Bacilli; Lactobacillales; Streptococcaceae.